This is a long non-coding RNA of Nymphaea colorata (pocket water lily), 786 nucleotides long. RefSeq lists it as uncharacterized. Lineage: Eukaryota; Viridiplantae; Streptophyta; Magnoliopsida; Nymphaeales; Nymphaeaceae. The transcript has 4 exons. The record is from RefSeq and is a predicted model, not a curated record.
UUGAGCUGUUUUUAGGUUACUAUGCUAGCUGCAUAAAAAAGAUUGACAAAAUUGAAAAUUCUCAUGAUAGUGAAGUAGGUGAUGUAAACAACCAGCGAAAGACAUCUGAGAAGUUUAUUCUGGAACUUCUACCUGCUGAAAGAAGCUUGCAAAGUCAAAGCUUGGAAGCACAUCUGAAAUUGAUGAUACCUUGAGAGUGAAGCGUCAUCCAUGUAUAUUUGCCAUUGGUGAUUCUUCUGGCUUUAGGGUCUCCUGUGGGAGGCGUGUUCCAGCUACCGGCCGUCAGAUACGAAUGCCAUUAGGCUGAAAAAAAAAAAGGACACGGUCACCUCAAGAUUAUGUUGAACCCGACGCUGUCGGUGCCGGACAUCUGGCUUUAUGGGCGAUUGCACACCGGGAGAGAAGGGCAGCAGAGGGCCCAUCGGAUUUCGUUCUGCCCCGGCCUCCCCUUCUAUCUCUGACGAUAUGCAGGGAAAAAAAAUGGUACCGAGGCAAUAGGGUCAAAGCCGGUUUCAUUCUGAUUUUGAGUCCGCCGGUAAAGAAGCAGCGGUGGAUUUUCCGGAUGCGACAGUGGGUCCGACGAAAAGAAAAGAAAAAAACUUUCCGGUCAAGGUUACUUACUGAUGAGUACAUGAGCGUUGAGAGGCAGAGGCACAUAUAGAGGAAGAAGAAGAAGUAAAACAAAACAGGAAGAAAGUGGUGACUAGCAGGUUUGUUUAUAUGAGGCUCCUCGGGCAAUCAACGAGAGAUUCAACACUUCAAAGAGUCGUUGGGCAUAUAUAGGCC